This is a non-coding RNA of Caerostris darwini, 71 nucleotides long. The record is from the annotation of a GenBank genome assembly. Lineage: Eukaryota; Metazoa; Arthropoda; Arachnida; Araneae; Araneidae.
GCCGAAGUUAAGCAUCAUUGGGCGCGGUCAGUACUUGGGUGGGUGACCACCUGGGAACACUGCGUGCCGUU